RNAcentral lists this ribosomal RNA (497 nucleotides) under uncultured bacterium. RNAcentral's name for it is "partial 16S ribosomal RNA". It matches the Rfam family "Bacterial small subunit ribosomal RNA", at positions 28 to 507 of the family's 1533-position model. The record is from RNAcentral.
GAUGAACGCUGGCGGCGUGCCUAAUACAUGCAAGUCGAGCGAACGGACGAGAAGCUUGCUUCUCUGAUGUUAGCGGCGGACGGGUGAGUAACACGUGGAUAACCUACCUAUAAGACUGGGAUAACUUCGGGAAACCGGAGCUAAUACCGGAUAAUAUUUUGAACCGCAUGGUUCAAAAGUGAAAGACGGUCUUGCUGUCACUUAUAGAUGGAUCCGCGCUGCAUUAGCUAGUUGGUAAGGUAACGGCUUACCAAGGCAACGAUGCAUAGCCGACCUGAGAGGGUGAUCGGCCACACUGGAACUGAGACACGGUCCAGACUCCUACGGGAAGCAGCGGUAGGGAAUCUUCCGCAAAGGGCGAAAGCCUGACGGAGCAACGCCGCGUGAGUGAUGAAGGUCUUCGGAUCGUAAAACUCUGUUAUUAGGGAAGAACAUAUGUGUAAGUAACUGUGCACAUCUUGACGGUACCUAAUCAGAAAGCCACGGCUAACUACGUG